AGAGUUUGAUCCUGGCUCAGGACGGACGCUGGCGGCGUGCUUAACACAUGCAAGUCGAACGGAAAGGCCCUUCGGGGUACUCGAGUGGCGAACGGGUGAGUAACACGUGGGUGAUCUGCCCUGCACUUUGGGAUAAGCCUGGGAAACUGGGUCUAAUACCGAAUAUGACCAUGCACUUCCUGGUGUGUGGUGGAAAGCUUUUGCGGUGUGGGAUGGGCCCGCGGCCUAUCAGCUUGUUGGUGGGGUAAUGGCCUACCAAGGCGACGACGGGUAGCCGGCCUGAGAGGGUGACCGGCCACACUGGGACUGAGAUACGGCCCAGACUCCUACGGGAGGCAGCAGUGGGGAAUAUUGCACAAUGGGCGCAAGCCUGAUGCAGCGACGCCGCGUGAGGGAUGACGGCCUUCGGGUUGUAAACCUCUUUCAGCACAGACGAAGCGCAAGUGACGGUAUGUGCAGAAGAAGGACCGGCCAACUACGUGCCAGCAGCCGCGGUAAUACGUAGGGUCCGAGCGUUGUCCGGAAUUACUGGGCGUAAAGAGCUCGUAGGUGGUUUGUCGCGUUGUUCGUGAAAACUCACAGCUUAACUGUGGGCGUGCGGGCGAUACGGGCAGACUUGAGUACUGCAGGGGAGACUGGAAUUCCUGGUGUAGCGGUGGAAUGCGCAGAUAUCAGGAGGAACACCGGUGGCGAAGGCGGGUCUCUGGGCAGUAACUGACGCUGAGGAGCGAAAGCGUGGGGAGCGAACAGGAUUAGAUACCCUGGUAGUCC
This 771-nucleotide ribosomal RNA is filed under the name uncultured bacterium. Its description in RNAcentral is "bacterial SSU rRNA". It matches the Rfam family "Bacterial small subunit ribosomal RNA", at positions 8 to 796 of the family's 1533-position model. The record is from RNAcentral.